GAGAGCAAAGGUAUACAUGCAAGUCUUUGUUUUGAUUAUUUGGAUCCAUUGUUGCAUAACUAUGUUUUCUAUUUUUCUCAAUCGACUUAGCCAUUCUACUAAUCUGGUAUUUUGUUUUAAGUUAAAAAUUAUUUGUUUUUCUCAUUUUCAUCAAAUUAAAUAAAACAUGAUUUUUAUUGGUAAAUAUUUGUUCUAGAAAUAUAUUUAUAAAAUAAAAAAUAUUAUAUUUUAAAGUUAGUGUAAGGAAUAUAUAUUUAUGUUUAAAUGAAUC
RNAcentral lists this long non-coding RNA (271 nucleotides) under Brassica napus (rape). Its description in RNAcentral is "long non-coding RNA (BNAP_LNC002709)". Lineage: Eukaryota; Viridiplantae; Streptophyta; Magnoliopsida; Brassicales; Brassicaceae. The record is from RNAcentral.